AUGGACAAACUGAGCCCUGUGGGAAACAAUCGCAUCAGCUCAGCGACGUCCAGCGUUUCUCCUCUCGUGUUUCUUUGCACGCCUCAUCUCCAAGCACGAAGCCACGACGAGAUUGAGGGUGCAAGGCUCAAGGGAAGCAGCUGGUUCUGUAGUUCUUUGUAUGCUUAUGGUAUCUUGGAUGAGGGUUACAAAUUCAACUUGUCAGUUGAGGAAGCUGCUGAGUUAGCAUGGCGGGCUUUUAUCACGCAAUAUUCUGUGACAGAGCUAGUGGUGGCUGUGUUCCUGGUGGGCUUGACAGACCAGUUUUUAUCCGGAAGAAAGGCCUUUAGCGUGCGUUUGGAUCUGAAGAAACAAAGCAAGAUAUGGCUGUCUUUCCUCCUAACUUGGCUAGUUACUAGUAUCUCCUUGAUCCUUUGA
Molecule: ribosomal RNA, 417 nt
Filed under: Triticum aestivum (bread wheat)
Lineage: Eukaryota; Viridiplantae; Streptophyta; Magnoliopsida; Poales; Poaceae
Description: partial small subunit ribosomal RNA
Source: RNAcentral